AUUGUCAGACUCUUUAUGAUGAAUAUUUGAUCACCAUCUUUCGGCUGA
Molecule: small nucleolar RNA, 48 nt
Filed under: Monopterus albus (swamp eel)
Lineage: Eukaryota; Metazoa; Chordata; Actinopteri; Synbranchiformes; Synbranchidae
Source: RNAcentral